AUUUCUGCCCACACCCUGCAGGGGUGAAUGGGGACAGACCCUCUUUCCCACAGCCCACCGGCUGCUCUGCCUUGGCUGCCUUCUCUCCAAAGGACCUCUCCAUCUGGGACACAGGGCUGCUGAGGCAGCCCCACCUUCCUGGAUGUACCGUGGAGACAAAGAUACAAACUGCAAAUAUGUGUGAGAUUCAACACACACAAGAUUCACACCCAUCAGGCAUGUAAGAAUUUCUACAACUUGGCAAGAGAAAUGAACAACCCAACAGAAAACAGCCACGAAAUCUCAGUAACCACCGCACAAAGUGGAAAAGGACAGACACCACGACCGAGGACAGCCCAGCGGCCGCUGUGAGGUACCUCCGUGACGACGCCGGCGGCCACCGUGGAGCCGCUGUAGCGCAGCAUGAACCUCCCCAGCUCCUUGAAGUCUUUGUACAGCUCCAGCGCGACUGGUCUCUGCGUCUGCAGCUCCACCAGCGCGUUCUGGCCUUUAGUCAGCAAUCUGUCGAGAAAAAAGAAAGGAACCAAUGAAUAUCCAGCAGACGUGAAGAAAUGUAGUUAACAACCUGAAAAAUAAACAUUAUACAAUGAUCAAAGCAACUCAGUCUUUCAAAAAUUUAAAAAGAAAAAAAAUGCAUCUUAAAAUGAAAA
Phyllostomus hastatus (greater spear-nosed bat) is the source of this 650-nucleotide long non-coding RNA. RefSeq lists it as uncharacterized. The transcript has 2 exons. Lineage: Eukaryota; Metazoa; Chordata; Mammalia; Chiroptera; Phyllostomidae. The record is from RefSeq and is a predicted model, not a curated record.